Molecule: long non-coding RNA, 801 nt
Filed under: Linum usitatissimum (flax)
Lineage: Eukaryota; Viridiplantae; Streptophyta; Magnoliopsida; Malpighiales; Linaceae
Description: long non-coding RNA (LUSI_LNC006641)
Source: RNAcentral
UAUCUCUUUCAUCUCUCUUUUUUUCUCAUCUGCUUCUCUCACUUCUCUUUUUAUAUUUCACAUUUAAAUUUUUUUAUGCCCACAGAGAAGAAGUGGAAGAAAAUUAUGGACGGUGGAAGAGAGUUCAGGCGAAAAAAACGAUGGCGGUGAAGGAAGAAAGGAAGAAUCUGGUUGGUGGUGAAAGAGAACUCAGUCAAAGAAGAGGGUGGCGGUGAGGAUAGCUCAGUAGCAACGAUUAUGACUUUAUAUUGUCGAGGUAAGAUAACUUGUUUCUUGUAGAUCUACUUCCCCAAAUCCUUUCUUCAAUCAAGCUUCUGAUUUCUUUUUGGUGUCUGUCUUUUUUUGCUUUCAAUUUCAUAUUGAUGUUGAUUGUAUAAUAUCAGAUGACGAUUUGAAGGAAGAAGACAAGGCAGCAAGCUUAUUUUGGAUAUUUUUUCAAGAAUAGUUUGGGGGACUGUGUUUGGUGGUUGUUGUUUUAGUAUUAGUUUUGCUCUGUGUAGGUUUUGGUAGGACUGUUGUGGGUGGAGAUGGUUGGAUUUGGCUAUUUGCUGAAUCCUUUUUCUACAUUUGUUGGGUUUUGUUGCUUUACCGAGGGAUGUUUGGGUUUUCGUAUUUCUAUUGUUUUUGUUACUAGGAAAAUUAACAUGCAUUAGCUAGUGUUGCAUUUCCUUUGCAUUAUUUGCAGUUGGGUGGGAGUUUUUUUUACAUUUUUUUCCUUCUUAUACUAAAUAUACACCAAUUAUUAAUAAAAAAAUAUAGAUAGAACGGACUCGUAAUAUAAAUAUAACAGACUCGUGAUGG